GCCCAAUGAUGAGAACAAGGCGAAUGCGAGCUCAUAGGACAAGAGACUGAGCUCUUCUGUGCUCCUGUUGGCUGGUAAUCUUGGCUGGGCAGGGGAGAUUUGCUGCUUUGCUGUAAGGGCUUGCCUACAUUAAACAAGUUCUUCCUAUCAAGCUUUCCCUCAAAGAAAUGGAGGAGAAAUUUGGGAAGGAUGAUCAUUUUGUUUGUGUGUGGAUGUGGACACAGGUCAAAACUCAAUUCUCUGUAAUGUCCAAUGAGCUGUGAGCUAGUUCUUCUGUAGUCUGAGGGCA
RNAcentral lists this small nucleolar RNA (289 nucleotides) under Carassius auratus (goldfish). Lineage: Eukaryota; Metazoa; Chordata; Actinopteri; Cypriniformes; Cyprinidae. The record is from RNAcentral.